Molecule: ribosomal RNA, 567 nt
Filed under: uncultured bacterium
Lineage: Bacteria
Description: bacterial SSU rRNA
Rfam family: Bacterial small subunit ribosomal RNA
Source: RNAcentral
CCUACGGGAGGCAGCAGUGGGGAAUUUUCCGCAAUGGGCGAAAGCCUGACGGAGCAAUACCGCGUGAGGGAAGAAUGCCUACGGGUUGUAAACCUCUUUUAUCAGGGAGGAACAAAAUGACGUGUACCUGAUGAAUAAGCAUCGGCUAACUCUGUGCCAGCAGCCGCGGUAAGACAGAGGAUGCAAGUGUUAUCCGGAAUUACUGGGCGUAAAGCGUCUGUAGGUUGUUGAACAAGUCAACUGUUAAAUCUUGAAGCUCAACUUCAAAAUCGCAGUCGAAACUGUUUGACUAGAGUAUAGUAGAGGUAAAGGGAAUUUCCAGUGGAGCGGUGAAAUGCGUAGAUAUUGGAAAGAACACCGAUGGCGAAAGCACUUUACUGGGCUAUUACUGACACUCAGAGACGACAGCUAGGGUAGCAAAUGGGAUUAGAUACCCCAGUAGUCCUAGCCGUAAACUAUGGAUACUAGAUGUUGAACAGAUCGACCUGUGCAGUAUUAAAAGCUAACGCGUUAAGUAUCCCGCCUGGGAAGUAUGCUCGCAAGAGUGAAACUCAAAGGAAUUGACGG